GCCUUCGUGGAGUAAGGUUAACUCACUCCCGAUGCGUGGCACGUUGCGUGAUGUUCUGGGAGAGUCGGUGGUUCAAAUCCACCCGAGGGCC
This is a non-coding RNA of Mycena polygramma, 91 nucleotides long. The record is from the annotation of a GenBank genome assembly. Lineage: Eukaryota; Fungi; Basidiomycota; Agaricomycetes; Agaricales; Mycenaceae.